CGGGUCGUAAAACUCUGUUGUUAGGGAAGAACAAGUACAAGAGUAACUGCUUGUACCUUGACGGUACCUAACCAGAAAGCCACGGCUAACUACGUGCCAGCAGCCGCGGUAAUACGUAGGUGGCAAGCGUUGUCCGGAAUUAUUGGGCGUAAAGCGCGCGCAGGCGGUCCUUUAAGUCUGAUGUGAAAGCCCACGGCUCAACCGUGGAGGGUCAUUGGAAACUGGGGGACUUGAGUGCAGAAGAGAAGAGUGGAAUUCCACGUGUAGC
This 268-nucleotide ribosomal RNA is filed under the name Vibrio cholerae. RNAcentral describes it as "partial 16S ribosomal RNA". It matches the Rfam family "Bacterial small subunit ribosomal RNA", at positions 419 to 679 of the family's 1533-position model. The record is from RNAcentral. Lineage: Bacteria; Pseudomonadati; Pseudomonadota; Gammaproteobacteria; Vibrionales; Vibrionaceae.